Acanthopagrus latus (yellowfin seabream) is the source of this 2574-nucleotide long non-coding RNA. RefSeq lists it as uncharacterized. The transcript is spliced from 4 exons. Lineage: Eukaryota; Metazoa; Chordata; Actinopteri; Spariformes; Sparidae. The record is from RefSeq and is a predicted model, not a curated record.
GGCACGUUGAAUCUACCCUGCAUUAAUCAUGACGUGAUGGCAUUAUGUCCAUCCCCAGGCCCCUCUACCAAUUUUUUUUUUUUUUCUAGGUAGUAAGUAUACAUUGUACAGUAAAGGCAGCUAUGGUAUGUCGGUAUAGACCUUGAGCAGAACCAAUUAUUAGUGUGUAUGUUAGAAUUAGUCUAUCUAAGAUUAAAAAAAAAAGAUAAAGAAGCAUUUAAUAUAAACAUAUGUUUUAUUUGUAUUUCUACUUUUACUUGCAUUGAAUCCCUUUUUCAAACAUUCCCUGAUAUUACUGUUGACUGAGGAGUUUAAACAGCAUUUUCCAUCAGUGAUUGUGUUCGCAGGUAUCUGUAAAUACAACAUGCUAUGUAUCUGGAAUUUCUAUAGUUCUCUGCCCUGAAGGAUUGACCUACUUUUGCAAAUGUUUUUCUCUGUAAACCUCUCCCGCAUUAGUUUACUUAUGGCCUGACUGCAUACAAACACAUUAAUUUUGUCAACAAGGCGGUAUAUGCUACACCCUUACAUUUUUAGAAUGAAUGUUGCAUAUAACACACUGUGGCCUGGCCUUCAGUCCCUAGAGCCCAAAAUGUAGAUUUUAUGAAGCGAUUUUAUGACUGUUAAUCCCCCUUCUCUUGUACUUUAAUUCUCUGUCAAGGCUUCUUUACCUGGAAAUGUUGUCUUCUACCUUCUAUUAAUGCUUCAGUGGAUAAUGCCUUAAUAUGUUAAUUUUUUCCUUACGUAAUGUUACAUCUCAUCACAAAAUCUAAUAAGAAGUAAUUUCUCAUUUUAGUUGCUGAUUUGGAUUGCAGGUGCAAUGGUAGCAAUGCCUGUGCUCAUAGAUAAUCAAAUUCUCAUCCUUAAAAAAGGUCCUGUUGUUGUUGUCAUGUUAGCGUCUGUAACUGCUUUAACCCUUUCUCAAGGGGUCGCAGGGGUUGUUGUUGGAGCCAGUCCCAGGUGUCUCUGAGCGAAGGCAGGGUACACCUCGAACAAGUUGCCAGCUCAUCGCAGAGCCCCUCACUGAUGGCACCUGCACAUCAGGAGCAAUUUGGGAUUCAGUGUCUUGCUCAAGGACACUUUGACAUGCAGCUCAGCUCAGCCCCCGGGAGCCAGGAUUCGAAGCAGCGACCUUCCGAUCACGAGCCGACCUGCUCUACCUGCUGAGCUACAGCCGGUCCAAUCCUGUUGUUGUUAUCUUUGUAACCAUGACAGCGUCGGCUGGUGAUGUUUUUUUACCUUGCGAGUCUCUGUGUGUUUGUCAUUGUGAUAAAAUGUGACACAGGUUGUAGCGGGAAUAACCACAGAGGCGGUCUACAUGGUAGUACAGGUUUUUAUAUGUCUGUCUAUCUGCAGAUUUUUGUCAGGAGGCACGAUGGCAUCAUAGAUUCAGAUUCAGAAAAGUUUGCAGGUGUGUAGUUCAGAUCAAACUGUGGCAGUAGUCAUCACUGACUAGUCAUGAGUCACAAGGCGAACAAGUUGACACGUAUUGGUCUCUAGUUUUGUGGUGUGAAUGCUUAAAGUAAAUGGAUGCCAAAUUAGACUGAAGAAGAGAAGCACAAGGUAAUUCCAGUAAAGGAAACACUUGCAGACUUUAUAGAAUCUUAAAUUACUGUUGAGACUGAAGAAAUAGUCCUUCUCUUUCCCUGAAAUGUGGGGUGAUUAAAGCAAAAGUAAGUCUAAUUACCACAGGUAACUGACACAUUAGAUCCCUGAAGCAGUUUUGGGGUCUGGAACAUGUUUUGCAGUUCACUAUAGCUGACCUUGACCUCUGACCCCUCUGGAGAAAGAUCUGUGAGAGAGAAUUAAAUCAAAAACAAAACAAAAAAAACAGGCUUUAUACAACUCCUGGAACCAAUCUGAGUCCUUCCUCUUCUAAAGCUGCCCUUCUGUCCCUCACAGCAGUCAGCUUUUGGCCUGGACUCUCAGCUUGAUCUGAACAUAGACACAGUUAUGUAAGGAGGAAUGGAAAGGAGCCCCUGUGCCAAACAGAUUAUCCGAUUAGUAACAAGAUAGCAGCCCAGCUACUUGAUCCUGGCACAUCACAGCUUAAAUGUUGCCUGUCCAGCCUGCCUGGGAGAGCAGGGGACACGGGGGUCACUGCCACCUGGCAGCCACCGGGCAACAGCACCCUCAUGACAUAACUGGGAGUCUGUGUUGCGUGAAUGGCAGCAGCAGAGUCAAGAGGGACCGUCUGCAAGUUUAAAAGUAGAUGUUUACAUCUUCGUAUCCACACGUCAAAUAAUUCAAGCCAGAAUAAAAGAGUCUUUUUUUCCCCAGGUAUCUGCAUUUCUACCCUGGUAAAUAAUGUGUGUUCCUCUGCGGAGGUGAAGGGGAUGGCAGCAGAAUCACAGGUGGGAAGGCUGCCAAGCAAGUGACCACAGUUCAAGACUGUGUUUCAACAUCUGACUCACCACGUCAGUGUACAUCAUGAGAGGAAGCAGGGUCCCAAACAAUUACAAAUUGGAUUUGGUAGAGGAAAUUAGGUGGCAUCCGAUCAGAAGAUCAGAACGUGAUUGGUUAGAUGGAUUGCUGCUGUUUCCACAUGACGGGCAAUCUGAGAUUACUGGGAAUAAA